GUGCAUAUGGUGUAGGUGGCAGCAUAUCUCACUGUGACUGAGACGGCAUGGGUUCAAACCCCAUUAUGUACCCCA
RNAcentral lists this transfer RNA (75 nucleotides) under Dehalococcoidia bacterium. RNAcentral describes it as "tRNA-His". It matches the Rfam family "tRNA". From Rfam's summary of the family: Transfer RNA (tRNA) molecules are approximately 80 nucleotides in length. Lineage: Bacteria; Bacillati; Chloroflexota; Dehalococcoidia. The record is from RNAcentral.